RNAcentral lists this ribosomal RNA (253 nucleotides) under uncultured bacterium. Its description in RNAcentral is "partial 16S ribosomal RNA". It matches the Rfam family "Bacterial small subunit ribosomal RNA", at positions 524 to 776 of the family's 1533-position model. The record is from RNAcentral.
UACGUAGGGUGCAAGCGUUGUCCGGAAUUAUUGGGCGUAAAGCGCUCGUAGGCGGUUUGUCGCGUCGGCUGUGAAAACUCGGGGCUCAACCCCGAGCCUGCAGUCGAUACGGGCAGACUAGAGUGCGGUAGGGGAGACUGGAAUUCCUGGUGUAGCGGUGAAAUGCGCAGAUAUCAGGAGGAACACCGGUGGCGAAGGCGGGUCUCUGGGCCGUAACUGACGCUGAGGCGCGAAAGCUAGGGGAGCAAACAGG